AAAGAAAACUAAAAAAUUAAAAAAACAGAAAGUGCAAUAUACAGUUUUUUAUUUAAAGUAGAGAGAUAAGAAAGAUAGUCUAGUAUUAAAUAUCAAAAGGUAAAAAGGAGAUAGAUGGAUACAUUCCAUAAAGGAAUUUAUAAUUUAAUAAUAUCAAAACGGUGUUAGGUGUUUGCAGUGACGUAGCGAGAGGAGGCAAGUGAGGUAUCAUGGCCCGGUUGCUACCUCACAAAGGGGCGCCAAAUGGUCUGUAAAACAAAAAUUGCUGAAUAAUUUUAUUUUAUUCUAAUUGAUUUCUGGAAAACAUAUUUUACUUUAGUACCAGUGUAAUGUUAAUUCUUAAAAAAAUAACACUAAUAGUCUAAAUCAAAUUUUAAUAUAUCUAUAUUCAUAAUAGAAAUGACACAUCUUACUAGCAACAAAUUAAAGAUAUACCCGAAAUAUUAAUGUUGAAGUUAAUAUUUCGGUUAUUUAUCAGUUCAAUUGUGCGUCCUUGUCAUCACGCUCUGCUUAGAAUAAAAAUGAAAUGUUAUUAAUGUAUGUAUAUACUAUAAGUUUAAUGUUAGCAUAAAUUAUAGUGUAUAUUUCACUGUGUGUGGCAUUCUUGGUAAGUAAUAAAACAAAUAA
Melitaea cinxia (Glanville fritillary) is the source of this 627-nucleotide long non-coding RNA. RefSeq lists it as uncharacterized. NCBI's taxonomy places the organism in Eukaryota, Metazoa, Arthropoda, Insecta, Lepidoptera, Nymphalidae. The record is from RefSeq and is a predicted model, not a curated record. The transcript has 2 exons.